Molecule: ribosomal RNA, 244 nt
Filed under: uncultured bacterium
Lineage: Bacteria
Description: partial small subunit ribosomal RNA
Rfam family: Bacterial small subunit ribosomal RNA
Source: RNAcentral
AGAAUCAACGCUGGCGGCGUGCCUAACACAUGCAAGUCGAACGAGAAAGUGGAGCAAUCCAUGAGUAAAGUGGCGCACGGGUGAGUAACACGUGACUAACCUACCCUUGAGUGGGGGAUAACCUAGAGAAAUCUGGGCUAAUACCGCAUAAUACCUUCGGGUCAAAGGAGCAAUUCGCUUAAGGAGGGGGUCGCGGCCGAUUAGUUAGUUGGCGGGUAAUGGCCCACCAAGACUAUGAUCGGUA